This 889-nucleotide ribosomal RNA is filed under the name Cadophora interclivum. RNAcentral's name for it is "SSU rRNA". It matches the Rfam family "Eukaryotic small subunit ribosomal RNA", at positions 168 to 1064 of the family's 1831-position model. The record is from RNAcentral. Lineage: Eukaryota; Fungi; Ascomycota; Leotiomycetes; Helotiales; Ploettnerulaceae.
UACAUGCUAAAAACCUCGACUUCGGAAGGGGUGUAUUUAUUAGAUAAAAAACCAAUGCCCUUCGGGGCUCCUUGGUGAUUCAUAAUAACUUAACGAAUCGCAUGGCCUUUGUGCCGGCGAUGGUUCAUUCAAAUUUCUGCCCUAUCAACUUUCGAUGGUAGGAUAGUGGCCUACCAUGGUUUCAACGGGUAACGGGGAAUUAGGGUUCUAUUCCGGAGAGGGAGCCUGAGAAACGGCUGCCACAUCCAAGGAAGGCAGCAGGCGCGCAAAUUACCCAAUCCCGACACGGGGAGGUAGUGACAAUAAAUACUGAUACAGGGCUCUUUUGGGUCUUGUAAUUGGAAUGAGUACAAUUUAAAUCCCUUAACGAGGAACAAUUGGAGGGCAAGUCUGGUGCCAGCAGCCGCGGUAAUUCCAGCUCCAAUAGCGUAUAUUAAAGUUGUUGCAGUUAAAAAGCUCGUAGUUGAACCUUGAGCCUGGCUGGCCGGUCCGCCUCACCGCGUGCACUGGUCCGGCCGGGCUUUUCCUUCUGGGGAGCCGCAUGCCCUUCACUGGGUGUGUCGGGGAACCAGGACUUUUACUUUGAAAAAAUUAGAGUGUUCAAAGCAGGCCUAUGCUCGAAUACAUUAGCAUGGAAUAAUAGAAUAGGACGUGUGGUUCUAUUUUGUUGGUUUCUAGGACCGCCGUAAUGAUUAAUAGGGAUAGUCGGGGGCAUCAGUAUUCAAUUGUCAGAGGUGAAAUUCUUGGAUUUAUUGAAGACUAACUACUGCGAAAGCAUUUGCCAAGGAUGUUUUCAUUAAUCAGUGAACGAAAGUUAGGGGAUCGAAGACGAUCAGAUACCGUCGUAGUCUUAACCAUAAACUAUGCCGACUAGGGAUCGGGCGAUGUU